GAUGAAAAAGCGUAACCGCGUUUUUUCAUUACCAAUCGGAGCAGGCUGACUGGACUUUACAAUUUGAAAACGGUAUUGGGAAUAAACAGCACUGGUGCGUCCGAGUGGCCUCGAACCACCGACCCCCACCA
Molecule: antisense RNA, 131 nt
Filed under: Arsenophonus endosymbiont of Bemisia tabaci Q2
Lineage: Bacteria; Pseudomonadati; Pseudomonadota; Gammaproteobacteria; Enterobacterales; Morganellaceae
Description: Bacterial antisense RNA HPnc0260
Rfam family: Bacterial antisense RNA HPnc0260
Source: Rfam by way of RNAcentral